CCUACGGGGGGCAGCAGUGGGGAAUAUUGCACAAUGGGCGAAAGCCUGAUGCAGCGACGCCGCGUAGAGGGACGACGGCCUUCGGGUUGUAAACCUCUUUCAGUA
Molecule: ribosomal RNA, 105 nt
Filed under: uncultured bacterium
Lineage: Bacteria
Description: partial 16S ribosomal RNA
Rfam family: Bacterial small subunit ribosomal RNA
Source: RNAcentral